Priapulus caudatus is the source of this 348-nucleotide long non-coding RNA. RefSeq lists it as uncharacterized. The transcript has 3 exons. The record is from RefSeq and is a predicted model, not a curated record. NCBI's taxonomy places the organism in Eukaryota, Metazoa, Priapulida, Priapulimorpha, Priapulimorphida, Priapulidae.
CACAAACGAGAAUGCAUGCGGCAUCGCUAUCCACACUGCGCUGUGUAGACUAGCAGUGUACGAUGGCUUUGUGGACGCGGUUUCUUAACAGACCUUGAGGAUGGCUUCGGAUUUCUGCGUACACGUAUUGAAAUGAGCUUUUCCCAGCAUCGGCCUGCUGAAGCGAUCCACUAUUCCAGGAGCGCUGCAUCUGCAGACGUAUUGCCUGCAGCUUCCUGUAGACCAGACCGUACUCGUCAGAGUACCGAUGACACUUACGCAAAGUGGAUUCGUGUCCUUUGCGAGCUCUCUCAUGAUUCUCUCUGCAGAGCGUUUCUCAUCUCGUCGCGACGCAAGUUUGCAGAACAU